UACAGAGGGGGCAAGCGUUAUUCGGAAUUAUUGGGCGUAAAGGGCGCGUAGGCGGCUUGGCAAGUGGAUGGUGAAAUCCCUCGGCUUAACCGAGGAACUGCCGUCCAAACUGCUUUGCUUGAGGCCGGGAGAGGCGAGUGGAAUUCCCAGUGUAGCGGUGAAAUGCGUAGAUAUUGGGAGGAACACCAGUGGCGAAGGCGGCUCGCUGGACCGGUUCUGACGCUGAUGCGCGAAAGCGUGGGGAGCAAACGGG
This 253-nucleotide ribosomal RNA is filed under the name uncultured bacterium. RNAcentral's name for it is "partial 16S ribosomal RNA". It matches the Rfam family "Bacterial small subunit ribosomal RNA", at positions 524 to 776 of the family's 1533-position model. The record is from RNAcentral.